This 440-nucleotide ribosomal RNA is filed under the name uncultured bacterium. RNAcentral describes it as "partial 16S ribosomal RNA". It matches the Rfam family "Bacterial small subunit ribosomal RNA", at positions 338 to 795 of the family's 1533-position model. The record is from RNAcentral.
CCUACGGGUGGCAGCAGUGGGGAAUAUUGCACAAUGGGGGAAACCCUGAUGCAGCGACGCCGCGUGAGUGAAGAAGUAUUUCGGUAUGUAAAGCUCUUUCAGCAGGGAAGAAAAUGACGGUACCUGACUAAGUAGCCCCGGCUAACUACGUGCCAGCAGCCGCGGUAAUACGUAGGGGGCAAGCGUUGUCCGGAUAUACUGGGUGUAAAGGGAGCGUAGACGGUGGCGGAAGUCUGGAGUGAAAUCCCAUGGCUUAACCAUGGGACUGCUUUUGAAACUGUGCAGCUGGAGUGCAGGAGAGGUAAGCGGAAUUCCUAGUGUAGCGGUGAAAUGCGUAGAUAUUAGGAGGAACACCAGUGGCGAAGGCGGCUUACUGGACUGUAACUGACGUUGAGGCUCGAAAGCGUGGGGAGCAAACAGGAUUAGAUACCCGAGUAGUC